CGAGCCAUUGAAAUUCGAUCC
Molecule: microRNA, 21 nt
Filed under: Malus domestica (apple)
Lineage: Eukaryota; Viridiplantae; Streptophyta; Magnoliopsida; Rosales; Rosaceae
Description: mdm-miR10991b
Source: miRBase by way of RNAcentral